Molecule: ribosomal RNA, 253 nt
Filed under: uncultured bacterium
Lineage: Bacteria
Description: partial 16S ribosomal RNA
Rfam family: Bacterial small subunit ribosomal RNA
Source: RNAcentral
GACGAACCGUGCGAGCGUUGUUCGGAAUCACUGGGCUUAAAGGGCGCGUAGGCGGGUUCGAAAGUCUGUGGUGAAAGCCUCCAGCUUAACUGGAGAAGUGCCAUGGAUACUGCGAACCUGGAGGAGGGUAGGGGCAUCUGGAACGCUGGGUGGAGCGGUGAAAUGCGUUGAUAUCCAGCGGAACUCCGGUGGCGAAGGCGAGGUGCUGGACCCUUUCUGACGCUGAGGCGCGAAAGCCAGGGGAGCAAACGGG